Molecule: ribosomal RNA, 423 nt
Filed under: uncultured bacterium
Lineage: Bacteria
Description: bacterial SSU rRNA
Rfam family: Bacterial small subunit ribosomal RNA
Source: RNAcentral
UCUUCCGCAAUGGACGAAAGUCUGACGGAGCAACGCCGCGUGAGUGAUGAAGGUCUUCGGAUCGUAAAACUCUGUUGUUAGGGAAGAACAAGUACCGUUCGAAUAGGGCGGCAGCUUGACGGUGCCUAACCAGAAAGCCACGGCUAUCUACGUCCCAGCAUCCGCGGUAAUACGUAGGUGGCAAGCGUUGUCCGGAAUUAUUGGGCGUAAAGCGCGCGCGGGCGGUUUCUUAAGUCUGAUGUGAAAGCCCCCGGCUCAACCGGGGAGGGUCAUUGGAAACUGGGGAACUUGAGAGCAGAAGAGGAGAGUGGAAUUCCACGUGUAGCGGUGAAAUGCGUAGAGAUGUGGAGGAACACCAGUGGCGAAGGCGACUCUCUGGUCUGUAACUGACGCUGAGGCGCGAAAGCGUGGGGAGCGAACAGG